CCUACGGGAGGCAGCAGUGAGGAAUAUUGGUCAAUGGGCGCGAGCCUGAACCAGCCAAGUCGCGUGAGUGAUGAAGGUUCUAUGGAUCGUAAACCUCUUUUAUAAGGGAAUAAAUUGUUGGACGUGUCCUUUUUUGUAUGUACCUUAUGAAUAAGGAUCGGCUAACUACGUUCCAGCAGCCGCGGUAAUACGGAGGAUCCGAGCGUUAUCCGGAUUUAUUGGGUUUAAAGGGUGCGUAGGCGGCCUUUUAUGUCAGCUGUGAAAGUCUGUGGCUCAACCAUAGAAUUGCCGUUGAAACUGGGGGACUUGAGUGUGUUUGAGGAAAGCGGAACGCGUGGUGUAGCGGUGAAAUGCUUAGAUAUCACGCAGAACACCGAUGGCGAAGGCAGCCUGCCAAGCCAUGACUGACGCUGAUGCACGAAAGCGUGGGGAUCAAACAGGAUUAGAUACCCGAGUAGUC
This 460-nucleotide ribosomal RNA is filed under the name uncultured bacterium. RNAcentral describes it as "partial 16S ribosomal RNA". It matches the Rfam family "Bacterial small subunit ribosomal RNA", at positions 338 to 795 of the family's 1533-position model. The record is from RNAcentral.